Molecule: long non-coding RNA, 631 nt
Organism: Mangifera indica (mango)
Lineage: Eukaryota; Viridiplantae; Streptophyta; Magnoliopsida; Sapindales; Anacardiaceae
Exons: 2
Source: RefSeq, a predicted model, not a curated record
AGUAUAAUACCCGCAACUGAUUUUGCAGUUACUGGAGCUCAACGACCUACUUACCCAUAAUCAAAACCUACAAAAGAUUGGGAUAAGCUUGAAGCUCAAGUGAAGAAGGAGGAAAAGGAUGAGAAGCUAGACGGUGAUGCAGCGUUAAACAAGUUUUUCCGGGGCAUUUAUGCCGACGCUGAUGAGGACACAAGAAGAGCCAUGAAAAAAUCUUUCCUAAGAAAAAAUUCCCGUUUAUCUGUAUUAAUUCUAACCCGGAAUAUGCACGCUAAGCCUUCAUAUUAUUUUGCCUAUUUUACAGGUGGAGUCAAAUGGGACAGUGCUCUCCACAAACUGGAAAGAAGUUGGUUCCAAGAAGGUAGAAGGAAGUCCUCCAGAUGGUAUGGAAAUGAAGCAAUGGGAGUACUAAACUCUCUAAUCGAACAUGACUGUAAUUUAGAGUUUGAUUUUUUGUCUGUUGAAAUUUGUGAUCACUUGUUGAGAGACUCCAUUUUAUUAUCUGUUGCUGGUUGUGUUCCAAUGUCUAGAUUUAAUCAUCAUGUACAUUUUCGUUGUUUGCUUUUAUAUUUUAGAGGUUUGGUGUUGAUGUUGAAACUUGAAAUGAAUUUUAAUCUCGUCACUUGUUUGUUGA